UACAGAGGGGGCAAGCGUUGUUCGGAAUUACUGGGCGUAAAGGGCGCGUAGGCGGCCUUCUAAGUCGAACGUGAAAUCCCCGGGCUCAACCCGGGAACUGCGUCCGAUACUGGAAGGCUUGAAUCCGGGAGAGGGAUGCGGAAUUCCAGGUGUAGCGGUGAAAUGCGUAGAUAUCUGGAGGAACACCGGUGGCGAAGGCGGCAUCCUGGACCGGCAUUGACGCUGAGGCGCGAAAGCCAGGGGAGAAACGGG
This 252-nucleotide ribosomal RNA is filed under the name uncultured bacterium. RNAcentral describes it as "partial 16S ribosomal RNA". It matches the Rfam family "Bacterial small subunit ribosomal RNA", at positions 524 to 776 of the family's 1533-position model. The record is from RNAcentral.